This 440-nucleotide ribosomal RNA is filed under the name uncultured bacterium. RNAcentral describes it as "partial 16S ribosomal RNA". It matches the Rfam family "Bacterial small subunit ribosomal RNA", at positions 338 to 795 of the family's 1533-position model. The record is from RNAcentral.
CCUACGGGUGGCUGCAGUGGGGGAUAUUGCACAAUGGGGGAAACCCUGAUGCAGCGACGCCGCGUGAGUGAUGAAGUAUUUCGGUAUGUAAAGCUCUAUCAGCAGGGAAGAAAAUGACAGCACCUGACCAAGAAUGCCCGGCUAACUACGUGCCAGCAGCCGCGGUAAUACGUAGGCUGCCAGCGUUAUCCGGAUUUACUGGGUGUAAAGGGAGCGUAGACGGUUAUGUAAGUCAGGAGUGAAAGCCCGGGGCCCAACCCCGGGACUGCAUUGGAAACUGUGUAACUGGAGUACAGGAGGGGCAGGCGGAAUUCGUGGUGUAGCGGUGAAAUGCGUAGAUAUCAGGAGGAACACCGGCGGCGAAGGCAGCCUGCUAGACUGACACUGACGUUGAGGCUCGAAAGCGUGGGGAGCAAACAGGAUUAGAUACCCUAGUAGUC